Molecule: non-coding RNA, 565 nt
Organism: Carica papaya (papaya)
Lineage: Eukaryota; Viridiplantae; Streptophyta; Magnoliopsida; Brassicales; Caricaceae
Source: RefSeq, a predicted model, not a curated record
UUGCAUUGUUUUGUAUCUGACAGGUAAAGGAUGUCCUCUUUGAGCCUGUUCGUAAAACCCAAGAUGCCAUGUUCUUUGUCAAGUCUCCUAGUGGGAUGUGGGUGCCAUGUGGACCUAAGCAACCAGGUGCUGUCCAAAUUACAAUGCAGGAGCUGGCAGCGCAAGGACUAGCAGCAAAUAUUAUUCCACCCCCCAUCACAAAAACAGAUUUUGAUAAGGUUCUUGCUAGACAGAGGCCAACUGUGAGUAAAUCUGACCUUGAGGUUCAUGAGAGAUUUACAAAGGAGUUUGGAGAGGAAGGUUGACAGAUUUAAUGAAGUCAUAUCUCAUUGAUCCACACUAGUGAGUCCGAUCACCAAAGUUUGUACUUUUAUUUAUCACUACUGGAUCCGAUGUUUUAUGUUGUUAGCAUAUUGAAAUGGGGAAGAUUGGUUUCCCUUUACUGUAUUGGACAGAAAAUGGAAGUUUGAUACUUGUUGAAUUGCAUGUUCAAAUUCUGUAAAGAAGAUAAUGAAAAUACUGCGUUGAAGAUAAUUGGAAAUUGUGUCUGCAUGAUUCAGGGGAA